AGAGUUUGAUCCUGGCUCAGGAUGAACGCUGGCGGCGUGCCUAACACAUGCAAGUUGAGCGAUUUACUUCGGUAAAGAGCGGCGGACGGGUGAGUAACGCGUGGGUAACCUACCCUGUACACACGGAUAACAUACCGAAAGGUAUGCUAAUACGGGAUAAUAUAUUUGAGAGGCAUCUCUUGAAUAUCAAAGGUGAGCCAGUACAGGAUGGACCCGCGUCUGAUUAGCUAGUUGGUAAGGUAACGGCUUACCAAGGCGACGAUCAGUAGCCGACCUGAGAGGGUGAUCGGCCACAUUGGAACUGAGACACGGUCCAAACUCCUACGGGAGGCAGCAGUGGGGAAUAUUGCACAAUGGGCGAAAGCCUGAUGCAGCAACGCCGCGUGAGUGAUGAAGGCCUUCGGGUCGUAAAACUCUGUCCUCAAGGAAGAUAAUGACGGUACUUGAGGAGGAAGCCCCGGCUAACUACGUGCCAGCAGCCGCGGUAAUACGUAGGGGGCUAGCGUUAUCCGGAUUUACUGGGCGUAAAGGGUGCGUAGGCGGUCUUUCAAGUCAGGAGUGAAAGGCUACGGCUCAACCGUAGUAAGCUCUUGAAACUGGGAGACUUGAGUGCAGGAGAGGAGAGUGGAAUUCCUAGUGUAGCGGUGAAAUGCGUAGAUAUUAGGAGGAACACCAGUUGCGAAGGCGGCUCUCUGGACUGUAACUGACGCUGAGGCACGAAAGCGUGGGGAGCAAACAGGAUUAGAUACCCUGGUAGUCCACGCUGUAAACGAUGAGUACUAGGUGUCGGGGGUUACCCCCNAUGCGCGGAUGUGGCGGAAUUGGCAGACGCACUAGACUUAGGAUCUAGCGCCAUUGGCGUGGGGGUUCGACUCCCUUCAUCCGCACCAUUUUUGUUUGAUAUACAUAUAUAUAUUGUGGGUGCAUAGCUCAGCUGGAUAGAGCAACGCCCUUCUAAGGCGUGUGUCCGGGGUUCGAAUCCCUGUGCGCUCACCACAUAUAUUGGGGAUUAGCCAAGUCGGUAAGGCACAUGACUUUGACUCAUGUAUGCGUAGGUUCGAGUCCUGCAUCCCCAGCCAAACAGUAUGGUCUAUUAGCUCAGUCGGUAGAGCACCUGACUUUUAAUCAGGGUGUCCCGCGUUCGAGUCGCGGAUAGAUCACCAAUGGAGAGGUGUCCGAGUGGUUUAAGGAGCUGGUCUUGAAAACCAGUGACUUCGAAAGGGGCCGUGGGUUCGAAUCCCACCCUCUCCGCCAAAUGCCCAGAUAGCUCAGUCGGUAGAGCAGGGGACUGAAAAUCCCCGUGUCGGUGGUUCGAUUCCGCCUCUGGGCACCAAAAUAUGGCGGUAUAGCUUAGUUGGCUAGAGCGUUCGGUUCAUACCCGAAAGGUCAUAGGUUCGACUCCUAUUACCGCUACUAAAAUUUAAUGUGGGCCAUUAGCUCAGUUGGUUAGAGCGCCCGGCUCAUAACCGGUAGGUCUGGGGUUCGAGUCCCUGAUGGCCCACCACAUUAAAUUAACUUAUGGUGGGUAUAGCUCAGUUGGUUAGAGCGCCAGAUUGUGGCUCUGGAGGUCGUGAGUUCGACUCUCAUUAUCCACCCCAACUUAUAUGGUCUAUUAGCUCAGUCGGUAGAGCACCUGACUUUUAAUCAGGGUGUCCCGCGUUCGAGUCGCGGAUAGAUCACCAAAAAGGCGGCGACAUAGCCAAGUGGUAAGGCAGUGGACUGCAACUCCUUGAUCCCCAGUUCGAAUCUGGGUGUCGCCUCCAAUAAAAUGCGCUCAUAGCUCAACUGGAUAGAGUGUCUGACUACGAAUCAGAAGGUUAGGGGUUCGAGUCCCUUUGGGCGCACCAUAUGAAUAGCGAGGGAUUAUAGCUCAGCUGGGAGAGCACCUGCCUUACAAGCAGGGGGUCACAGGUUCGAGCCCUGUUAAUCCCACCAGUGCAAACCUCUAGUAAAACUACUAGAGGUUUUAUUUUUGAUUGAAAAAGUUUUUAUAUUUAGGAGGUAAAAAAUUUGUAUAUAGUAAUAGGAAAUGAAAUAGUUGAUAGUGAAGAACUUAAAAUAAUUAUAGAUAAAAAUAGUGAAUUUAAAGUUGAAAAAGAUUUAAGUAAAAGCACAAAAAGAGAAGAUGUAAUAGCAUAUCAGUUAAGUAUAGAUUUAAAUUACCUAGAUUCUCUUAUAAAUGAGCAAUGUAAUUUAGCCAGUCUAUCUGAUGAAGAGAAAUUUGAUGAAUAUAUGACUUUGUCUGAUGAACUUGCACUGGAUUUAGAAGAGUUAAUGCCAAAAUAUACAAUAAUAAAUGCUAGAGCAUAUAAAUUAGACGAGGUAGAUGGAAUUGUAAAAAUAAUACUAGCUGUAGCGUAUGCAGAUUUAGGGCACUUAAAACUUUCUGAUGUAGUAAAGAGGCUAUCUAGACAAGUAGAUUAGGAUAUGAAUAUGAACUAUAUUAAAAAAAUGUAUAAAAUCUUACGUAAAGAUGAAAAUAAUUAUGUAAACAUAGAAAAAAACAGUAUAAAAUCAAGUCAAUUGUAGAAAUUUUCACAUAAAUUCAUCUGAAAUUCUGUAAAAAAUGCCUUAAUUUUAAUGAGGUAAAUCGAGUUUACACAGUCUAAAAAUUACUUAUAUUUAUAAAUUUAUCUUAUUAAUUAAGGAACUUUCUUAAACAUCUUCAAAAAUAAAGUAUUUUAGUCUAUAAUCUUUAAUAUUACACAAACAAUAAAGGAGAAGAAUAGAGUAUGCUUAAAAAGUUUAAUAAAAUACUAGUGGCUAAUAGAGGCGAAAUAGCUAUAAGAAUAUUUAGAGCCUGUUCAGAAUUGGGGAUAAAAAGUGUUGGUAUAUACAGUAAGGAAGAUAAGUAUGGAUUGUUUAGAACAAAAGCGGAUGAAUCAUAUUUGAUAGGAGAAGGUAAAGGGCCAAUAGAUGCAUAUUUAGAUAUGGAUGGAAUAAUAGACCUAGCAAAGAGAAAAAAAGUUGAUGCUAUACAUCCAGGAUAUGGUUUUCUAGCGGAGAAUGCAGAAUUUGCUCGUAAAUGUGAAGAGAAUGGAAUUACUUUUAUAGGACCAUCAUCUAAGGUAAUGAAUAUGAUGGGGGAUAAGAUUAACUCUAAAAAAAUCGCAAAAGAAGUUAAUGUUCAAACU
This 3134-nucleotide ribosomal RNA is filed under the name Clostridioides difficile. RNAcentral's name for it is "16S ribosomal RNA". The stretch from base 2 to 854 matches the Rfam family "Bacterial small subunit ribosomal RNA", at positions 9 to 873 of the family's 1533-position model. The record is from RNAcentral. Lineage: Bacteria; Bacillati; Bacillota; Clostridia; Peptostreptococcales; Peptostreptococcaceae.